GACGAACGCUGGCGGCGUGCUUAACACAUGCAAGUCGAACGGAAAGGCCUUUUCGGUGGUACUCGGGUGGCAGACGGGGGAGUAACACGAGGGUGAGGUGCCCCUCACUCUGGGAUAAGCCUGAGAAAGUGGAUCUGAUGCUGGUACGGGCCGCACUUUUGAGCGGGAGGGGGAAAGAGUUUUCGGUGUAGGUGGAGCCCGCGGCCUAUGAGUUUGAGGGGGGGGUGAUGGCCUACCAGGGCGGCGACGGGUAGCCGGACUGCGGGGUUGGUCGGACACAUUGGGACCGAGCGACGGGCCGGACUACGACGGGAGGCGGCAGGGGGGAAAAUCGGACGAUGGGCGCCAGCCUGAUGGAGGGACGCCGCGUGGGGGAUGACGGCCGUCGGGUUGUAAGCACCUUUCGCCAGGGACCAAGCGUUUUGUGACGGUAACUGGAGAAGAAGCCCCGGCUAACUACGUG
RNAcentral lists this ribosomal RNA (463 nucleotides) under uncultured bacterium. RNAcentral's name for it is "partial 16S ribosomal RNA". It matches the Rfam family "Bacterial small subunit ribosomal RNA", at positions 28 to 507 of the family's 1533-position model. The record is from RNAcentral.